This 253-nucleotide ribosomal RNA is filed under the name uncultured bacterium. Its description in RNAcentral is "partial 16S ribosomal RNA". It matches the Rfam family "Bacterial small subunit ribosomal RNA", at positions 524 to 776 of the family's 1533-position model. The record is from RNAcentral.
UACGUAGGGCGCAAGCGUUGUCCGGAAUUAUUGGGCGUAAAGAGCUCGUAGGCGGUCUGUCGCGUCGGCUGUGAAAACUCGGGGCUCAACCCCGAGCCUGCAGUCGAUACGGGCAGACUAGAGUGCUGUAGGGGAGACUGGAAUUCCUGGUGUAGCGGUGAAAUGCGCAGAUAUCAGGAGGAACACCGGUGGCGAAGGCGGGUCUCUGGGCAGUAACUGACGCUGAGGAGCGAAAGCGUGGGGAGCGAACAGG